RNAcentral lists this transfer RNA (73 nucleotides) under human gut metagenome. RNAcentral describes it as "tRNA-Tyr". It matches the Rfam family "tRNA". Rfam says of the family: Transfer RNA (tRNA) molecules are approximately 80 nucleotides in length. The record is from RNAcentral.
CGAAAAUUAGCGUAGUGGAUAACGCGGUAUUCUGUAAUAAUACUUUUCAUUGGUUCGAAUCCAAUAUUUUCAU